RNAcentral lists this ribosomal RNA (394 nucleotides) under uncultured bacterium. RNAcentral describes it as "bacterial SSU rRNA". It matches the Rfam family "Bacterial small subunit ribosomal RNA", at positions 29 to 418 of the family's 1533-position model. The record is from RNAcentral.
AUUGAACGCUGGCGGCAGGCCUAACACAUGCAAGUCGAACGGCAGCACAGAAGAGCUUGCUCUUUGGGUGGCGAGUGGCGGACGGGUGAGUAACACGUAGGAAUCUACCCAGUAGUGGGGGAUAACCUGGGGAAACCCAGGCUAAUACCGCAUACGCCCUGAGGGGGAAAGCGGGGGAUCUUCGGACCUCGCGCUAUUGGAUGAGCCUGCGUCGGAUUAGCUAGUUGGUGGGGUAAGGGCCCACCAAGGCGACGAUCCGUAGCUGGUCUGAGAGGAUGACCAGUCACACCGGAACUGAGACACGGUCCGGACUCCUACGGGAGGCAGCAGUGGGGAAUAUUGGACAAUGGGCGCAAGCCUGAUCCAGCCAUGCCGCGUGGGUGAAGAAGGCCUU